GUGAGGAAUAUUGGACAAUGGGCGCAAGCCUGAUCCAGCCAUGCCGCGUGCGGGAAGACGCAUCUAUGGUGUGUAAACUGCUUUUGUACGGGAAGAAACACUCCCUCGUGAGGGAGCUUGACGGUACCGUAAGAAUAAGGAUCGGCUAACUCCGUGCCAGCAGCCGCGGUAAUACGGAGGAUCCAAGCGUUAUCCGGAAUCAUUGGGUUUAAAGGGUCCGUAGGCGGUUUAAUAAGUCAGUGGUGAAAGCCCAUCGCUCAACGAUGGAACGGCCAUUGAUACUGUUAGACUUGAAUUACAAGGAAGUAACUAGAAUAUGUAGUGUAGCGGUGAAAUGCUUAGAUAUUACAUGGAAUACCAAUUGCGAAGGCAGGUUACUACUUGUGGAUUGACGCUGAUGGACGAAAGCGUGGGGAGCGAACAGGAUUAGAUACCCGUGUAGUCC
This 445-nucleotide ribosomal RNA is filed under the name uncultured bacterium. RNAcentral's name for it is "partial 16S ribosomal RNA". It matches the Rfam family "Bacterial small subunit ribosomal RNA", at positions 354 to 796 of the family's 1533-position model. The record is from RNAcentral.